UCUCCGUUGGUGAACCAGCGGAGGGAUCAUUACCGAAGUUACCCUUCAAAACCCAUUGUGAACCAUACCUCUUGCCGCGUUGUCUCGGCGGGAGGCGCUGGGGCCUCGGCUCCGCGUCCCCGCCGGCAGCGCCGAACUCUAAACUGCAAAGCGUACUGCAUGUUCUGAUUUACAAAAAAAACAAGUUAAAACUUUCAACAACGGAUCUCUUGGUUCUG
Molecule: unclassified non-coding RNA, 218 nt
Filed under: plant metagenome
Description: partial contains small subunit ribosomal RNA, internal transcribed spacer 1, and 5.8S ribosomal RNA
Source: RNAcentral